This 107-nucleotide small nucleolar RNA is filed under the name Sorghum bicolor (sorghum). Its description in RNAcentral is "Plant small nucleolar RNA R71". It matches the Rfam family "Plant small nucleolar RNA R71". From Rfam's summary of the family: R71 is a member of the C/D box family of snoRNAs containing the C (UGAUGA) and D (CUGA) box motifs. Lineage: Eukaryota; Viridiplantae; Streptophyta; Magnoliopsida; Poales; Poaceae. The record is from Rfam by way of RNAcentral.
AUUCCAUGAUGGGGACAUUCUAGGAUGUAGUCUUGGAAGCGCUCCCAUGCCUCUGGAACGGAUUCAUCAUGUUGUUGCUGAAAACUUGUAAUCUUCCCACGGAGAGC